AACGCACCUUGCGCUCCCUGGUCAUUCCGGGGAGCAUGCCUGUUUGAGUGUCAUAAUACUCUCAACCCCUGGGGUCUUUUAAACGGACCACCUCGGGCUUGGAUCAUGGACGCUGCCGGCCCUCUCUCGGGGGUGUGGCUCGUCUGAAAUACAUGAGCUGACCUGUCUGCGAACAGCACGGUUUGACUCGGCGUAAUAAAUCCAUUUUUCGUCGGGGACACCCUUUGCGGGGUGGCCGGGCUCGCGGUCUUCGGGUUGCUUACAAUCGAAUAGUCCCAUCUAUUUUAGACCUCAAAUCAGGUAGGAUUACCCGCUGAACUUAA
This 323-nucleotide unclassified non-coding RNA is filed under the name uncultured Basidiomycota. Its description in RNAcentral is "sequence contains ITS2". Lineage: Eukaryota; Fungi; Basidiomycota. The record is from RNAcentral.